Molecule: ribosomal RNA, 427 nt
Filed under: uncultured Enterococcus sp.
Lineage: Bacteria; Bacillati; Bacillota; Bacilli; Lactobacillales; Enterococcaceae
Description: bacterial SSU rRNA
Rfam family: Bacterial small subunit ribosomal RNA
Source: RNAcentral
UAGGGAAUCUUCGGCAAUGGACGAAAGUCUGACCGAGCAACGCCGCGUGAGUGAAGAAGGUUUUCGGAUCGUAAAACUCUGUUGUUAGAGAAGAACAAGGAUGAGAGUAACUGUUCAUCCCUUGACGGUAUCUAACCAGAAAGCCACGGCUAACUACGUGCCAGCAGCCGCGGUAAUACGUAGGUGGCAAGCGUUGUCCGGAUUUAUUGGGCGUAAAGCGAGCGCAGGCGGUUUCUUAAGUCUGAUGUGAAAGCCCCCGGCUCAAGCGGGGAGGGUCAUUGGAAACUGGGAGACUUGAGUGCAGAAGAGGAGAGUGGAAUUCCAUGUGUAGCGGUGAAAUGCGUAGAUAUAUGGAGGAACACCAGUGGCGAAGGCGGCUCUCCGGUCUGUAACUGACGCUGAGGCUCGAAAGCGUGGGGAGCAAACA